CCUACGGGUGGCAGCAGUGAGGAAUAUUGGUCAAUGGACGAGAGUCUGAACCAGCCAAGUAGCGUGAAGGAUGACUGCCCUAUGGGUUGUAAACUUCUUUUAUAUGGGAAUAAAACAGGGUAUGCAUACCCUCUUGUAGGUACCAUAUGAAUAAGGAUCGGCUAACUCCGUGCCAGCAGCCGCGGUAAUAAGGAGGGUCCGGGCGUUAUCCGGAUUUAUUGGGUUUAAAGGGAGCGGAGGGGGAUAGUUAAGUGAGUUGUGAAAGUUUGCGGCUCAACCGUAAAAUUGCAGUUGAAACUGGCGGUCUUGAGUGCGGGAGAGGUAGGCGGAAUUCGUGGUGUAGCGGUGAAAUGCUUAGAUAUCACGAAGAACUCCGAUUGCGAAGGCAGCACACUGGAGCGCAACUGACACUGAUGCUCGAAAGUGUGGGUAUCGAACAGGAUUAGAUACCCGUGUAGUC
Molecule: ribosomal RNA, 460 nt
Filed under: uncultured bacterium
Lineage: Bacteria
Description: partial 16S ribosomal RNA
Rfam family: Bacterial small subunit ribosomal RNA
Source: RNAcentral